ACUUCAUGAUUUGGGCAUUGGGCUAAUUUUCCAUUAAACCGUUUCCAUGCUUCAAACAACUGGAGCUAUUGGCACUAUUGAAAUU
RNAcentral lists this small nucleolar RNA (85 nucleotides) under Capsicum annuum. RNAcentral's name for it is "Plant small nucleolar RNA R71". It matches the Rfam family "Plant small nucleolar RNA R71". Rfam says of the family: R71 is a member of the C/D box family of snoRNAs containing the C (UGAUGA) and D (CUGA) box motifs. Multiple nearly identical copies of this snoRNA have been identified in Arabidopsis, and it is thought to function as a 2'-O-ribose methylation guide for 18S ribosomal RNA. The record is from Rfam by way of RNAcentral. Lineage: Eukaryota; Viridiplantae; Streptophyta; Magnoliopsida; Solanales; Solanaceae.